CACGUAGGUGGUGCGCUAAGUCACGUGUGAAUCCCCCGGCUUAACCGGGGAAUGGCGCGUGAUACUGGCGGACUUGAGGCAGGUAGGGGUGAGCGGAACUCCAGGUGGAGCGGUGAAAUGCGUAGAUAUCUGGAGGAAUACCGGUGGCGAAAGCGGCUCACUGGACCUGAUCUGACACUGAGGUGCGAAAGCUAGGGUAGCAAACG
This 206-nucleotide ribosomal RNA is filed under the name uncultured bacterium. RNAcentral's name for it is "partial 16S ribosomal RNA". It matches the Rfam family "Bacterial small subunit ribosomal RNA", at positions 568 to 774 of the family's 1533-position model. The record is from RNAcentral.